AACUAAAUGUAAAAGCUGCUGUUCUGGGCCAUCAGUACUAAUGUCCCUGCAGGUGUUUGUCAGGGUUAGACUU
Molecule: long non-coding RNA, 73 nt
Organism: Sphaeramia orbicularis (orbiculate cardinalfish)
Lineage: Eukaryota; Metazoa; Chordata; Actinopteri; Kurtiformes; Apogonidae
Exons: 3
Source: RefSeq, a predicted model, not a curated record